GAUGAACGCUGGCGGCGUGCUUAACACAUGCAAGUCGAACGGAAACGCGCUGCUAUCGCGGGGUGCUCGAGUGGCGAACGGGUGUGAUACACGUGAGUAUCCUGCCCCUGACUUUGGGACAACUUCAGGAAACUGGGGAUACUACAGGAUAGGAGCUCCUGCAGCAGGGGGGGGGUUGGAAAGUUUCGGCGGUGGGGGAUGGACGCGCGGCUUAUCAGCUGGUUGGUGGGGUAGCGGCUAACGAAGUCUUCGACGGGUAGCCGGCCUGGGAGGGUGACCGCCCACAAUGGGACUGAGGUACGGCGCAGACUGCAACGGUAGGCAGCAGUGGGGAAUAUUGCACAAUGAGCGGAAGCCUGAUGCAGAGGCGCCGCGUGCGUGAUGACGGCCUUCGGGGUGUGAACCGCUGUCGCCUGUGACAGAGCGUUAGUGACGGUAAUUGGUAAAGAAGCACCGGCUAACUACGUG
RNAcentral lists this ribosomal RNA (468 nucleotides) under uncultured bacterium. Its description in RNAcentral is "partial 16S ribosomal RNA". It matches the Rfam family "Bacterial small subunit ribosomal RNA", at positions 28 to 507 of the family's 1533-position model. The record is from RNAcentral.